GUAAGGAAUAUUGGUCAAUGGAGGAAACUCUGAACCAGCCAUCCCGCGUGCAGGAAGACGGCCCUCUGGGUUGUAAACUGCUUUUAUCUGGGAAGAAAAGCCGGCAUUCAUGCUGGUCUGACGGUACCAGAGGAAUAAGCACCGGCUAACUCCGUGCCAGCAGCCGCGGUAAUACGGAGGGUGCAAGCGUUAUCCGGAAUUACUGGGUUUAAAGGGUGCGUAGGCGGCGCUGUAAGUCAGGGGUGAAAGGUUUCGGCUUAACCGGAGAAUUGCCUUUGAUACUGCAGUGCUAGGAUUGGGUUGAGGUUGGCGGAAUGUGACAUGUAGCGGUGAAAUGCAUAGAUAUGUCAUAGAACACCGAUUGCGAAGGCAGCUAACUGGACCUUGAUUGACGCUGAGGCACGAAAGCGUGGGGAGCAAACAGGAUUAGAUACCCCAGUAGUCC
Molecule: ribosomal RNA, 445 nt
Filed under: uncultured bacterium
Lineage: Bacteria
Description: bacterial SSU rRNA
Rfam family: Bacterial small subunit ribosomal RNA
Source: RNAcentral